Molecule: non-coding RNA, 878 nt
Organism: Schizosaccharomyces pombe (fission yeast)
Lineage: Eukaryota; Fungi; Ascomycota; Schizosaccharomycetes; Schizosaccharomycetales; Schizosaccharomycetaceae
Source: the annotation of a GenBank genome assembly
AUGUGGAUCAAGUUAUUCUUAGUUGAAUUAUUGGAUUCAAUUAAACCUUAAACAGACAGUAUAAAAUAUAAAAACACGCUCUUGUUAUUAAUUGUUUUGCAGUCAUCAAGUACUUGACUAACUCUUUGCAGAAGCAAUGGAUAUUUAUCUUUGGAGAGUAAAAUUGAGAAGCAAAGUACACAAAACUCAAGGUAGCAAAUCUAUAAUGCCUAGACAAUUAUCUUGUAUUGCUAGUUUGUGAAACAAUGAAUAUGCAUUCGCUUUAUUGUGACUAAUUCGUCCUGGUACGAAUUGAAAAAGUAACUGGCCAAGCGGUUUCCGUGACAAAAAUGGGUCAAAAUACACAACAUUAUGUGAUUUAGCUCCACUAUACUAGGGCUAUUCUUCUAUAACCCGAGAACGUUGCUCGGCAAGUAUACCGACAUGAUAUAUAUACCUUAUAAUGUGUAGCAAAACUGGAAGGAGCGAGGGCGAAGAUGAAAGCGAUACAAAAAAAAACUAUAAAUAAAUAUAUAUAUAUAAAGAAAUGUCAGCAAAGAUCGAGUGUCUAGCAAGUACAAAAGUUUGUUUCUUCCGGUUUGACUACUUCAAACGAGGGCUUAGAAGUGGCUAUGCUGUUUGUUUUACAGUUUCCCAGCACUGGAAAUUAAAAAAAAGGGCAAAACAAUACAAUAGCGGCUGGCAAAACGGAUGGAAUUGGUCCUUUGUCUUGCACGAGGAAAAAACAUGACAAGUAAAAAAAAAAUUUGCAAUUGGGUUUAAAAGUUAAGAGACAAAUGCCAUUUAUUAGAACAAUUAAAUUUUAUAAAAAAAGAAUAGAAAAAUAAUUGUUAAAGAUAGAAUAUAGCUAAUGCAUGAUACAAUAGAAUUUGAACCUC